This 770-nucleotide ribosomal RNA is filed under the name uncultured Lactobacillus sp. RNAcentral describes it as "bacterial SSU rRNA". It matches the Rfam family "Bacterial small subunit ribosomal RNA", at positions 728 to 1502 of the family's 1533-position model. The record is from RNAcentral. Lineage: Bacteria; Bacillati; Bacillota; Bacilli; Lactobacillales; Lactobacillaceae.
UCUGGUCUGUAACUGACGCUGAGCUCGAAAGUAUGGGUAGCAAACAGGAUUAGAUACCUGGUAGUCCAUACCGUAAACGAUGAAUGCUAAGUGUUGGAGGGUUUCCCCCUUCAGUGCUGCAGCUAACGCAUUAAGCAUUCCGCUGGGGAGUACGGCCGCAAGGCUGAAACUCAAAGGAAUUGACGGGGGCCCGCACAAGCGGUGGAGCAUGUGGUUUAAUUCGAAGCUACGCGAAGAACCUUACCAGGUCUUGACAUACUAUGCAAAUCUAAGAGAUUAGACGUUCCCUUCGGGGACAUGGAUACAGGUGGUGCAUGGUUGUCGUCAGCUCGUGUCGUGAGAUGUUGGGUUAAGUCCCGCAACGAGCGCAACCCUUAUUAUCAGUUGCCAGCAUUAAGUUGGGCACUCUGGUGAGACUGCCGGUGACAAACCGGAGGAAGGUGGGGAUGACGUCAAAUCAUCAUGCCCCUUAUGACCUGGGCUACACACGUGCUACAAUGGAUGGUACAACGAGUUGCGAACUCGCGAGAGUAAGCUAAUCUCUUAAAGCCAUUCUCAGUUCGGAUUGUAGGCUGCAACUCGCCUACAUGAAGUCGGAAUCGCUAGUAAUCGCGGAUCAGCAUGCCGCGGUGAAUACGUUCCCGGGCCUUGUACACACCGCCCGUCACACCAUGAGAGUUUGUAACACCCAAAGUCGGUGGGGUAACCUUUAGGAACCAGCCGCCUAAGGUGGGACAGAUGAUUAGGGUGAAGUCGUAACAAGGUAACCA